Molecule: long non-coding RNA, 401 nt
Filed under: Mytilus galloprovincialis (Mediterranean mussel)
Lineage: Eukaryota; Metazoa; Mollusca; Bivalvia; Mytilida; Mytilidae
Source: RNAcentral
CUAUUAGAAGUGCCGUAUUUUUUGUUAUUUUAUUCUUUACAGAAAGUGAAUCAAAUUGGUCGAAAAAAAAUAGGGGUCACGGACCAUUUAAGUUCAAAAUUUUACUUUUAAACAGGUAUGUAAAAGGGACCAUUUUUCAAUGAAAUGAUAGGGAAAGUAGUUGACAUAUUUUAAUCGGAAUAUCAAAAAAACGUUCUAUGACACUUGGUCCAAAACUGUAAUAUAAAAAGCUGAACUAUAGCUUCAAAGAAUGAGCAAAUAAAAAACAUAGGUCACGGAUAAGGAAAAAAAAUAUUUUGCAUUAAAACCCAAAUUUUGGCGGGAAAAUGGUGAAAAUUGGUGAAAUGUCAUUUUGACCCUUUAACAAAUACGGAUAAUAACGAAAAUAUUCUAUUAGUUAC